GACGAACGCUGGCGGCGUGCUUAACACAUGCAAGUCGAACGGAAAGGCCCUGCUUUUGUGGGGUUCUCGAGUGGCGAACGGGUGAGUAACACGUGAGUAACCUGCCCUUGACUUUGGGAUAACUUCAGGAAACUGGGGCUAAUACCGGAUAGGAGCUCCUGCUGCAUGGUGGGGGUUGGAAAGUUUCGGCGGUUGGGGAUGGACUCGCGGCUUAUCAGCUUGUUGGUGGGGUAGUGGCUUACCCAGGCUUUGACGGGUAGCCGGCCUGAGAGGGUGGCCGGCCACAUUGGGACUGAGAUACGGCGCAGACUCCUACGGUAGGCAGCAGUGGGGAAUAUUGCACAAUGGGCGGAAGCCUGAUGCAGCAACGCCGCGUGCGGGAUGACGGCCUUGGGGUGGUAAACCGCUUUCGCCUGUGACGAAGCGUGAGUGACGGUAAUGGGUAAAGAAGCACCGGCUAACUACGUG
Molecule: ribosomal RNA, 468 nt
Filed under: uncultured bacterium
Lineage: Bacteria
Description: partial 16S ribosomal RNA
Rfam family: Bacterial small subunit ribosomal RNA
Source: RNAcentral